UAGGGAAUCUUCCGCAAUGGGCGAAAGCCUGACGGAGCAACGCCGCGUGAGUGAUGAAGGUCUUAGGAUCGUAAAACUCUGUUAUUAGGGAAGAACAAACGUGUAAGUAACUGUGCACGUCUUGACGGUACCUAAUCAGAAAGCCACGGCUAACUACGUGCCAGCAGCCGCGGUAAUACGUAGGUGGCAAGCGUUAUCCGGAAUUAUUGGGCGUAAAGCGCGCGUAGGCGGUCUUUUAAGUCUGAUGUGAAAGCCCACGGCUCAACCGUGGAGGGUCAUUGGAAACUGGAAAACUUGAGUGCAGAAGAGGAAAGUGGAAUUCCAUGUGUAGCGGUGAAAUGCGCAGAGAUAUGGAGGAACACCAGUGGCGAAGGCGACUUUCUGGUCUGUAACUGACGCUGAUGUGCGAAAGCGUGGGGAUCAAACA
RNAcentral lists this ribosomal RNA (427 nucleotides) under uncultured bacterium. RNAcentral describes it as "partial 16S ribosomal RNA". It matches the Rfam family "Bacterial small subunit ribosomal RNA", at positions 355 to 774 of the family's 1533-position model. The record is from RNAcentral.